GCAGGACACAAACCUGAGAGGGCAGGAAGUCCACGCUGCCACCACGGGGUCACCACAGGGAGCCUGGUGGGGACACAGAGUAAAAAGAAUAGAAAAUAACCAAAUGUCAAGACUGCAACUGGGGUGGAGCCAAGCUGCUGCGGAUGUUGCCAAGGGCCCUUCCCGGGAGAGCCAGGUGGGGUACCCACAUGCCACCUUCUCCUCAGGUGGAGCCACCGCCUGUGGCCUCCUGUGGGGCCAGCCUGGACUGCAGCUGCCAGGACCUAGUGAUGGCCCCAAACCUGAGAGUGGGCCCAGAGUCCCACCCCGCUAACCAUGCUGAAAAAGGCCACAGGGCACAUGAAGCCUUUGCUCCCUGGAUCAGGUCACGCUCUCCAGUUUUCCUUCCAGGAGGACAGGCCAUGCACUAAAAAACAGCUGCAGAGGAAAGGCUGGACCAGGUGUGCUGGGAGUCACCAGGAGCAAGGUGGUGAAGAUGGAGUUUCCCUCUUGUUGCCCAGGCUGGACAGCGAUGCGC
This 517-nucleotide long non-coding RNA is filed under the name Homo sapiens (human). RNAcentral describes it as "HSALNT0336182". Lineage: Eukaryota; Metazoa; Chordata; Mammalia; Primates; Hominidae. The record is from RNAcentral.